This is a non-coding RNA of Picea glauca (white spruce), 79 nucleotides long. NCBI's taxonomy places the organism in Eukaryota, Viridiplantae, Streptophyta, Pinopsida, Pinales, Pinaceae. The record is from Rfam.
GACUUGAAAUCCGAGUGGUUAAGGAGACAGACUUGAAAUCUGUUGGGCUUCUCCCGCGCAGGUUCGAACCCUUCAGUUA